UACGUAGGGUGCGAGCGUUGUCCGGAAUUAUUGGGCGUAAAGGGCUCGUAGGCGGUCUGUCGCGUCGGGAGUGAAAACUCAGGGCUUAACCCUGAGCCUGCUUCCGAUACGGGCAGACUAGAGGUAUGCAGGGGAGAACGGAAUUCCUGGUGCAGCGGUGAAAUGCGCAGAUAUCAGGAGGAACACCGGUGGCGAAGGCGGUUCUCUGGGCAUUACCUGACGCUGAGGAGCGAAAGUGUGGGGAGCGAACAGG
Molecule: ribosomal RNA, 253 nt
Filed under: uncultured bacterium
Lineage: Bacteria
Description: partial 16S ribosomal RNA
Rfam family: Bacterial small subunit ribosomal RNA
Source: RNAcentral